RNAcentral lists this ribosomal RNA (775 nucleotides) under uncultured bacterium. Its description in RNAcentral is "bacterial SSU rRNA". It matches the Rfam family "Bacterial small subunit ribosomal RNA", at positions 65 to 818 of the family's 1533-position model. The record is from RNAcentral.
AACGCGAAAGGCCCCUUCGGGGGCCGAGUAGAGUGGCGCACGGGUGAGUAACACGUAGGUAAUUUGCCUUCGGGUGGGGAAUAACAGCCGGAAACGGCUGCUAAUACCGCAUAAUGCAGCGGCUCGACAUCGAGACAGUUGUUAAAGCGGGGGAUCGCAAGACCUCGCGCCUGAAGAGAAGCCUGCGGCAGAUUAGCUAGUUGGUAGGGUAAUGGCCUACCAAGGCAACGAUCUGUAACCGGCCUGAGAGGGCGGUCGGUCACACUGACACUGACAUACGGGUCAGACUCCUACGGGAGGCAGCAGUCGGGAAUUUUGGGCAAUGGGCGAAAGCCUGACCCAGCAACGCCGCGUGAAGGAUGAAAUCCCUCGGGAUGUAAACUUCGCAAGAAUGGGAAGAAUAAGUAGAAGAUAACACCUUCUAUGAUGACGGUACCAUUUGUAAGCUCCGGCUAACUCCGUGCCAGCAGCCGCGGUAAUACGGGGGGAGCAAGCGUUGUUCGGAUUUACUGGGCGUAAAGGGCGCGUAGGCGGCCACGACAAGUCACUUGUGAAAUCUCCGGGCUUAACUCGGAACGGUCAAGUGAUACUGUCGGGCUAGAGUGCAGAAGGGGCAACUGGAAUUCUCGGUGUGGCGGUGAAAUGCGUAGAUAUCGAGAGGAACACCUGCGGCGAAGGCGGGUUGCUGGGCUGACACUGACGCUGAGGCGCGAAAGCCAGGGGAGCGAACGGGAUUAGAUACCCCGGUAGUCCUGGCCUUAAACGAUGAAUGCUU